UACGUAGGGGGCUAGCGUUAUCCGGAAUUAUUGGGCGUAAAGGGUGCGUAGGCGGUCCUACAAGUCAGAGGUGAAAGGCUACGGCUCAACCGUAGUAAGCCUUUGAAACUGUAGGACUUGAGUGCAGGAGAGGAGAGUGGAAUUCCCAGUGUAGCGGUGAAAUGCGUAGAUAUUGGGAGGAACACCAGUGGCGAAGGCGGCUCACUGGCCCGGUACUGACGCUGAGGUGCGAAAGCGUGGGGAUCGAACAGG
Molecule: ribosomal RNA, 252 nt
Filed under: uncultured bacterium
Lineage: Bacteria
Description: partial 16S ribosomal RNA
Rfam family: Bacterial small subunit ribosomal RNA
Source: RNAcentral